UGCAAGUCGAACGGCAGCACGGGGGCAACCCUGGUGGCGAGUGGCGAACGGGUGAGUAAUAUAUCGGAACGUGCCCAGUCGUGGGGGAUAACGUAGCGAAAGUUACGCUAAUACCGCAUACGAUCUACGGAUGAAAGCGGGGGAUCGCAAGACCUCGCGCGAUUGGAGCGGCCGAUAUCAGAUUAGGUAGUUGGUGGGGUAAAGGCUCACCAAGCCAACGAUCUGUAGCUGGUCUGAGAGGACGACCAGCCACACUGGGAUUGAGACACGGCCCAGACUCCUACGGGAGGCAGCAGUGGGGAAUUUUGGACAAUGGGCGCAAGCCUGAUCCAGCCAUUCCGCGUGCAGGACGAAGGCCUUCGGGUUGUAAACUGCUUUUGUACGGAACGAAAAAGCCUUGGCUAAUACCCAGGGUCCAUGACGGUACCGUAAGAAUAAGCACCGGCUAACUACGUGCCAGCAGCCGCGGUAAUACGUAGGGUGCGAGCGUUAAUCGGAAUUACUGGGCGUAAAGCGUGCGCAGGCGGUUAUACAAGACAGGCGUGAAAUCCCCGGGCUUAACCUGGGAAUGGCGUCUGUGACUGUAUAGCUAGAGUGUGUCAGAGGGGGGUGGAAUUCCACGUGUAGCAGUGAAAUGCGUAGAUAUGUGGAGGAACACCAAUGGCGAAGGCAGCCCCCUGGGAUAACACUGACGCUCAUG
This 700-nucleotide ribosomal RNA is filed under the name uncultured bacterium. Its description in RNAcentral is "bacterial SSU rRNA". It matches the Rfam family "Bacterial small subunit ribosomal RNA", at positions 56 to 751 of the family's 1533-position model. The record is from RNAcentral.